RNAcentral lists this small nuclear RNA (186 nucleotides) under Lepidothrix coronata (blue-crowned manakin). RNAcentral's name for it is "U2 spliceosomal RNA (ENSLCOG00000003720.1)". It matches the Rfam family "U2 spliceosomal RNA". Rfam says of the family: U2 is a small nuclear RNA (snRNA) component of the spliceosome (involved in pre-mRNA splicing). Complementary binding between U2 snRNA (in an area lying towards the 5' end but 3' to hairpin I) and the branchpoint sequence (BPS) of the intron results the bulging out of an unpaired adenosine, on the BPS, which initiates a nucleophilic attack at the intronic 5' splice site, thus starting the first of two transesterification reactions that mediate splicing. The record is from Rfam by way of RNAcentral. Lineage: Eukaryota; Metazoa; Chordata; Aves; Passeriformes; Pipridae.
AGAGCUUUUCAACCUUUUGGGGAAGCUCAAGUGUAGUGUGUUCUUACCAGUUUCUUAUCUGAUAGGUGGCUGCAAGGAUUCACUGUUCAAUAGCUUUGUGGAGACAGGAGGUGCUUUGAGAGCUUGCUGCAGCCACUUCACAUGUGGUCCUGUUAUGGCAAUAGCUUCUGGUUCUCUGUUAGCCCU